UACAUUAAAUAAACAGCAUUUCAGCUGAUAUGUCACUUGUUAUCAAUGCCAAGUGUGUCUAGUAACUCUGUUGUCUAAGAUGAAGAGAUGUGCUUAUUUUUACCCCUUCUCUCCACCCCUCUGUUUCCCCUCUGUCUGACCCUCUAUCUCCACUCUGAUUUCGUGUUGCUCAACUGUUACUUUUGGCUGAUUUUCUUGUUGUUAAAUUGAGUUUUUUUACAUUAUGUAUAUUCUACCAGAAGGAUUAUCAAUGGCAUUGCAUUCUGUUUUAUGACCACAUUUGUAACAAUUAUAUAGAAUGACUUUUUAGGGUAAACGCUUCCACUGCUUCUAUUAGAAAGGUAAGAAGGGCUGGGGAGACAAGCAUUAGAUGAAGUUCUGGGUGAAAGACCAGCCUGGAGUUAAGCCUGUUGGGUGCCUAAUGGGGACGGGAGAAAGGAGGUUUCUUCUUCUUCGUCUCAUCUCCCAACCUUGGUCCCAUCACUUACUCUGUCUGCAAUUAUAGUGGACCUGCCUGUAGGACCCACGUCAGGCGACUUUCCUGGAUUUCAACUCGCACGCAUUUUCCCUGGGAGGCAGUACCCCAUGGAACUUCUCUGGCUUUCUGGCCCCGGGUUUCCUGGCCCAUUUUGUUGUUGUCCUCUGUGGUUCACAAGACCCUUCCAACAUGGCUUUGAUCUUAGACAUUUGGCUUGUGCGUAUGGUGUGUCAAGGGUCAAACAUUCAGUUGUUUUUCUGAGCUUUCCAAUAUAUUUGUAUUUUUCCCUACCUUUCUUUGAGUUGACACGUAUUUGAGAAAUUUCCCAGAAACAAUCCGCAGAUGUCCUGGGAGGCUGGCAGGGCUCUGGGUGGUUUCAGGGGUGUGAACCUCUGGUCCCAUCGCAGAAGCCAUGGUGAGCACUCCUGCAUCGUCUUCAUCCCAGUGGUACCCCUGCUGGGCGCAGUCUUCAUAGGGGACAUAGCAAGUGUCUGGAUGUAGCAGAUGCUGAAGACCUUCAGAGGCUUCCCUGGGUUGCUGUCCUGGCCUCCAUCUGAGGUACUGUGUUAGUGAACUCCUCUCAUUCAGGCUGUAGGCUUCUUGUGGAUGAGGUGAUACUUUAUUCUUCUCCAGGAAGGUACGUAAGCCAUUGGACAUAAACUUGAAUUCAGAAGUGGCUUGCUCCAUGUUAAUGUUUGGGUUAUUUUUAAGAGUUUAGGAAGACCUAUAGGCUUGGAUCCAUUGGGAUUGAUUUACUAGUUUGGGGUUCUUCAUUUUCCACUCUUUUUAAAAGUGUGUGUGUGUGCACAUGUGUGUAUUUGUGUAUGCUCGUUUUUCGCUCUUUAAAAAAGUUUUGUGUGUCUGUGUAGGCAUGUGUUUCUUUUUCAUGAAUGCAUGCUAUUUAGAGUUGGUGGCUGCAUCUUAGAGCAAUGCACCUUAUGUGUGGUCCAAAGACAAGCAGCCCCAGCACCACUGGGGGUCUUGUUUGACAUGCAUAUUCUCAGGUGCUGGUCCACACAUACUGAAUCGAAACUGAGAGUGGAACCCAGCAAUUUGUAUUUUAACAAGCCCUCCAGGGGAUCCUGGUGCAUAUUAAAGAAUGAGAACCACUGUCUUAGACAUAAUCUACUCUCUCUCAUCCAUGAAGUCAUAAGACUCCUCCCAGAGGUAAUUUACCCAAGAUCACACGUGGCACCAGCGACAGACCAGGGCUAGAACCCAGAUGUGACCCAUGUUAACAGCUGACAUCACUUCUGGGAUAAAGGAGGCAUUCAGUAAAUUAGUUUUGCUUCCUCUUGGUUCUGCCCCUCCCUGGACACAAGCAGUGAGGAAGGCGCUGCUGUCUUUCAGUGCUCUUCUCUCUUUCUCCCCUCAAUUCAAAUAGACCCCAGAAAAAGGUCCCAGACACGUGCUGUUAACCCACUGUGCAUCCAGGAGCUUGCCACCUUGCCUGUGUUCCCAUCGUGAUGAUGAAGAAACAAUGGAUUGGCCCGCCUGGCUGGGAUCCCUUCCAGCCCUGACUUUCCACGGCUGCAGGGCAGACUCUGACACACACGUUUCUGUGGUCGGCUAUCAGCGGCCAUCUGGCAAUUAGCAGUCUCUGAGGCAGCUAAUCCCACUCUGAGCUGGAUUAAAGCUGAAGUUUAAAACAUGGAGAUAGGCAGGUGAUUUAUGUUGGAGUCUUUGGGUCCCGCUGUCCCUGGCAGCCUGGUGAAGGAGGACAGAGAAGCUGAUUUCCUCCCUUAUCUAUCUUGGAGGCUCAGCGGAGCUGGAUCAGCUUUCCAGAGGGACAGCCUGGGCUGGGGGACAUGCCAGGCUGUGGGAGGUGCCGGGGGAGCUCCAGGAGACCGGCCACAGCACAUGAGGCAUGGCUGGGCUGGCUGGAGGAGACGGAGCGAGCCAGGUUCCGUGUCCAGUGCCGCAUCGCUAGAAGCAGGUGUGAUGGGGAAUCUGGGGUGGCCAGAUGGAUUUGAACCACGGCUCCCAGAUGCCAUCGAGGGCCCUGGGGUGGCAGGCAGCAAGCCCUCCAGCUCCUUUGGGGUGCCCUCUCAGUAGGCAGCAUGGUCAGAAACCAAACCCGUGUGUUUGUUCACAGCCCGAGGAGAUAAUUAACUUAUCUCCACAGAGGGACUUGAUUACAUUCCUAGCAUGAGCGGAAUGAGAAGUUUGGACUUGGAAGCGCUGGUGGUGGUGGGAUAUAUUUGCAGUACUUGGCCGAGGAGCCAUUUGUUCAGAAAUUGGCCGAGUAAUCAGACAAAUGCCUCUUUUCCUAAUUGUUGAUAGAAAUCAGCUAUUAUGGCAGAGCCAGGGGCUCACUCCUGAGACAACACAUUACUUAAGGUGAGCAUGCCUCCGAAUAUGUUAGGGUGAUCUAAAAACAUUUCACAUAACUCGAGUUUAAAAACAAGUUGUGCCUGUCGUGAAUGCUGUAUAAUGCUGGGCACAGGGGAAUGUGAUUUACUGCCUGCAUUUCAGCUGUUGUUACUGCUACUGUCAGGAACCACCUUUCAUACCCACUUCCUCGGGUUAGAUACUGGAUUGAGCACCUGCUGUGUGCAGCUCUGUGCUAGGCGCUAGGGGCCAAAGCAGACAGAUAUUCUAUCCAUGAGGAGUUUAGGGCUUAUCCUAACAGAAGAGUUUUAUAAAAUCUCAUUGAACCCCGAAUUGCAGCUUUACUCUGUAAGGGUCUUGGAGGUUCCACUGAUGGAAUGGACCAGAAAGUAACAGGUAAACUUUCUUGAGGGCUCACCUAUACCAAGCAUGGUGCUAAGCACCAUCCCACUUGAUUCUUUCACCAUUUGGGGAAGAAUCUGCUAUUAUUAUUUAUUCCUGUUUUAUGUACAAGAGAGCUGUGGCACAGAGCAGCUAAGUACUUCUACCAUGAUGGCAAGGGUGGGGCGGACCCAGGAGGUGCACCCAGGUUUGUGGACUGGUAGAGCCCAUGUUCUUAACUCUGAGGCUGCAGAGAGAUUGGUUUGCAAAGGCUGCUUCUGUCCUUAGCUUGCCUCUGCCGCAGCCUCGCUGUGUAAGCACCCCUUAGACACACAGCUUCUUGCAGUUACUGCAGCCCAUCAGGCGGCUUCCUGCCUUCGAGUUUUUGUCCCUGCUUCCAAUACUCAUGUCAUCUCUGCAUAGCUUUCUGCUUCUCCUUAUUCAGAUCUCUGCUUAAAUAUCCAUUCCCUAUAGACCCUGCUCUGGUCAUCUGAUCUCAGAUCACCCUCAUUGCCUUCAUUCUUGAAUCUCUUAGUCUAUUUUGUUUUCAUAGCAGUUACCAUUAUCUGAAAUCAAGUUAUUUGUGUAUUUGUUCCCUUGUUUAUGGCCUGGUGAUCUUACCAGGUGGUAAGAUGAUAAGGAAUCUUGGCUCUUGCAGUUCUUGAAACACUUUCCUAUUGGGUUUUUUAACAAUUUGGUGGGAUAGGCAGUUUGGAUGCUCUUAUUUCCAAUUUUUGACAAGGAUGCUGGAUUGAUUUAUCCAAGGUUACACCUCAUCUAUGGCAGAAGUAGAAUUAUACUACAGAUGGCCUUCUGAUGAUUGGCUCAGGGCUCUUUUCCCUACACCAUGAAGGAUCCAUUUCAUGUGAAAACAGUACUGAUCUCAUAAUUUAGGGCCUGGAAAAUGUUAAGUCAUCUAAUUAACCAAUGACACCGUCUUAAAGGUUCUCAUGAAUUCUCUCCCCAACUCUCUUCUCUAACAUGUUAUGUCAAGUGGAAUAAAAUAUGGCAGCCCUAGUUGAUAAGAAAUUUGAUUUCUGGAGAUUGGAGACAGAGCAACUGAUGAAAAACAAAAGUAUAGACUAUUUUAUUAAUUAGUUUGUAUGCCUUGGUCCACAAAAUUUCAAUUUGACUGCAAAGAUACCUAAUAAUAAGAUACAUAAAUGAGAAAUUAGAGCAAAAGAAGAAAGCAAAAGUAGCUGGAAAUAUUAAAUGCUCCAGACAUGAGACCCACAAAUGCAAAGUUAAAAGACUUCACCAUGAACCAAACACUAUUUAAGUUCUUAGUUUUCUAGCAGGUAUGUCAAAAGGAAAAACUUGGUUGGUUACAUAAUUCAAAAUGUCUUUGCAUAAAAGGCCAAAAAAUUACUUAGGAGGGAAACUUUCUAAGCUGGAGGUUAAUUGCUCUUGAAAGAAAAACAUCUAGUAUAGUAUUUUUUUGACUUUUCCAAACUGAUGACUUUUUGAUAGUGAUAAAAACUUUAGCCUUCCAUUGAGAAUUACUGAUACACAGAAAACAAAUGCUAGGUUCUCCAUAGCCCCAUCAACUAGCACAGUUUUGUUGAUAUUUGCUUUCUAUAGAUUGAAGUAGAAAUAAGUACUGCUUUCUAUUCCAAAUCAAAAAUUAAGCCAUCUGAUCCCCAAAGAUCCUUCACCUCUUCCAGAGAGCAUGGCAUCCCUUCUCAUUUGGAAAUGUCGCAAUACUAAUUAAUUUAGGCAAGAGUCAUCAACAGAUACUGAAACUGUUGGGUGAAAAUUUGAUGAAGAAUAGGAUAUUUACUUAAUUGCAAAGUAUCUCCCUUGUGAAUUACAAAGGGAAGUAUAGUAAUUUUAUGACAGCCAUCACUUUAGCGAAGUGAUCAAACUUAUCACCAAUUACAGGACAAACGACCCUAUGCUUCCUGAUACCAGAGCCUGCGGAAGACACAUCACCUCUGUGGCAUUCCUGCUAAAAGUGCAUAAUCUGAAUGUAAUCACGAGGAAAUAUCAAACAUAAUCAAGUUGUACUAUAAUCUAA
Molecule: long non-coding RNA, 5207 nt
Filed under: Sus scrofa (pig)
Lineage: Eukaryota; Metazoa; Chordata; Mammalia; Artiodactyla; Suidae
Description: lncRNA (ENSSSCG00000055684.1)
Source: RNAcentral